RNAcentral lists this ribosomal RNA (468 nucleotides) under uncultured bacterium. RNAcentral's name for it is "partial 16S ribosomal RNA". It matches the Rfam family "Bacterial small subunit ribosomal RNA", at positions 28 to 507 of the family's 1533-position model. The record is from RNAcentral.
GAUGAACGCUGGCGGCGUGCUUAACACAUGCAAGUCGAACGGUGAAGGCGGAGCUUGCUCUGCUGGAUCAGUGGCGAACGGGUGAGUAACACGUGAGCAAUCUGCCCCUGACUCUGGGAUAAGCGCUGGAAACGGCGUCUAAUACUGGAUACGAGCUGCGAAGGCAUCUUCAGCAGCUGGAAAGAAUUUCGGUCAGGGAUGAGCUCGCGGCCUAUCAGCUUGUUGGUGAGGUAAUGGCUCACCAAGGCGUCGACGGGUAGCCGGCCUGAGAGGGUGACCGGCCACACUGGGACUGAGACACGGCCCAGACUGCUACGGGAGGCAGCAGUGGGGAAUAUUGCACAAUGGGCGAAAGCCUGAUGCAGCAACGCCGCGUGAGGGACGACGGCCUUCGGGUUGUAAACCUCUUUUAGCAGGGAAGAAGCGAAAGUGACGGUACCUGCAGAAAAAGCGCCGGCUAACUACGUG